UAAUUGUAUUUAAUUAACUGAAAUGACAACUUUGAGACAAAAAUGGUGGAUUGCCUUUUAUUAAUUCAGUUUCAAUGAUGUAGUAGGAGUAUAUAAUAAAUAAAUAGAACUUGAGUGCACUUACCAUCAUUAACUCAGUUUCAAUGAUGUAGUAGGAGUAUAUAAUAAAUACAUAGAACUUGAGUGCACUUACCAUUAUGUCGAAAGAUAAACUAUAGUGGUUUAGUCAAAAAGAAAAAA
RNAcentral lists this long non-coding RNA (240 nucleotides) under Lathyrus oleraceus (garden pea). RNAcentral describes it as "Pisum sativum (pea) long non-coding RNA (PSAT_LNC030013)". Lineage: Eukaryota; Viridiplantae; Streptophyta; Magnoliopsida; Fabales; Fabaceae. The record is from RNAcentral.